AGUAACACGUGAGUAACCUGCCCUUCACUCUGAGAUAACGUCGGGAAACCGGUGCUAAUACUGGAUAUGACCUACUCGGGCAUCCGAUGUGGGUGGAAAGAUUUAUUGGUGGGGGAUGGACUCGCGGCCUAUCAGCUUGUUGGUGAGGUAAUGGCUUACCAAGGCGACGACGGGUAGCCGGCCUGAGAGGGCGAUCGGCCACACUGGGACUGAGACACGGCCCAG
RNAcentral lists this ribosomal RNA (225 nucleotides) under uncultured bacterium. RNAcentral's name for it is "partial 16S ribosomal RNA". It matches the Rfam family "Bacterial small subunit ribosomal RNA", at positions 109 to 334 of the family's 1533-position model. The record is from RNAcentral.